UACAGAGGUCUCAAGCGUUGUCCGGAUUCAUUGGGCGUAAAGGGUGCGUAGGUGGCGCCGUAAGUCAGGUGUGAAAUUUCGGAGCUUAACUCCGAAACUGCAUUUGAUACUGCGGUGCUUGAGGACUGGAGAGGAGACUGGAAUUCACGGUGUAGCAGUGAAAUGCGUAGAUAUCGAGAGGAACACCUGCGGCGAAGGCGGGUAGCUGGGCCGACACUGACGCUGAGGCGCGAAAGCCAGGGGAGCGAACGGG
This 253-nucleotide ribosomal RNA is filed under the name uncultured bacterium. RNAcentral's name for it is "partial 16S ribosomal RNA". It matches the Rfam family "Bacterial small subunit ribosomal RNA", at positions 524 to 776 of the family's 1533-position model. The record is from RNAcentral.